Molecule: non-coding RNA, 84 nt
Organism: Eucalyptus grandis
Lineage: Eukaryota; Viridiplantae; Streptophyta; Magnoliopsida; Myrtales; Myrtaceae
Source: Rfam
CGGUGAAUUACUGGGCAUUUACUCCUUUGGCAAUGAAUACAAUAUAAGCUCAUUGCCAAAGGAUAUUUGCCCAGCUAUUCACCG